UUUUGAAAAUCGAAGAAAGCGUAGAUCGUUUGGCUAAGUUUAUUAUACGGAUAAAUUCCAACAAAUUGAUAUUUUGCAUGUCAUAAUGUAUCAGCAACAAGUUCGUCCAUCAUCUCAGAGUGGUCAGUCAGCAAAUAAUUCUUUUUCGUAUCCAAAUUUUUCAUAUCAUCUUGCAGAUCAUAAAUCAAAUAAACAAAAUUAUUCCAAUUUCGGUAAAGGAACAGGACAAAAGUUUGUAACUUCAACUGCUAAUUCUCCUCCUCCUCCUCCCCCUCCUCCACCUCCACCUCCUCCUCCUCCAUCUCUUAUUGGUAACACUAAAUAUAUAAAUAUGAUGUCAAAUUCAUCUGUUGAAAAAAAAACCAAUAAUAAUAAUUCAGCCUUGACAGAACCAAGUAAUGAUAAUCAGUUCCAACAAAAUUCUUUCAAAAAUGAAAUGUCUAGAGGUCUACCACCUGGCUUUUCAAAAGCAGAGGCUGAACAAAAAAAUUCACGAAAUACUGAAGAAGAUCCUGUAACUAAAGCCAUGGUUAAUAAUUUGAUGGGAAAUGUACCCAAUAAAAAAAAUAGGGUAACUUUGCACUGUGACUUAUGUAAUUUGGAAUUUAGUUCUCAGAUUCCAUUAGACAUGCAUCUUAAAGGUGCUAAGCAUGCCAAAAAACUUCGAUCCAUGGAAAUUUUAAAUGUUCUUGAACAAGAUGGUAAAGUUGUUCAGCCCAAAGGUGUUAGCAAUUCUCUUCGAUGUGAAAUUUGUGAUGUUAUUGGAAAUAGUUCACAACAAUUGCAGAUGCAUCUAACUGUGUAAAAGACAAAGAUAUUAUCUACCCUAGUAUAGCCAGGAUGAAGACCUGCUUAAUUUCCAUGGAACAAGCACAAAUCUAAAUGUCGUUCUCUUGGUAUAGAUCCCAGUUGUUUUCAGAAACCACCACCACCCCCUCCACAACCAGUACAAAAUGUUGAAGAAGAAAAAAGUCUGAAAAGAACA
Molecule: unclassified non-coding RNA, 985 nt
Filed under: Centruroides sculpturatus (bark scorpion)
Lineage: Eukaryota; Metazoa; Arthropoda; Arachnida; Scorpiones; Buthidae
Description: zinc finger protein 346-like, transcript variant X3
Source: RNAcentral